AAGUUCUAGAGGCAGUGCUAGUCUAUAGGUAACGGUAUCAAUCCUGUCUAAGACUUCAAAUGGUCCAAUAAAUCCGGUGUUCAGUUUUUCCCUCCUACCGAACCUACUAAUUCCCUUGAAAGGAGUGAUCUUAAUGAACACCCCGUCGCUUUUCUCAAAUUCUAAAUCUCUCCUCCGAGUGUCCGCAUAACUUUUCUGUCUGCUCUUAGUCGUCUGAAUGUUCUUCUUGAUCUUAACUAUUUUGGAUGU
Molecule: long non-coding RNA, 249 nt
Filed under: Carica papaya (papaya)
Lineage: Eukaryota; Viridiplantae; Streptophyta; Magnoliopsida; Brassicales; Caricaceae
Description: long non-coding RNA (CPAP_LNC016509)
Source: RNAcentral